This 1817-nucleotide long non-coding RNA is filed under the name Ananas comosus (pineapple). RNAcentral describes it as "long non-coding RNA (ACOM_LNC032209)". The record is from RNAcentral. Lineage: Eukaryota; Viridiplantae; Streptophyta; Magnoliopsida; Poales; Bromeliaceae.
UCACGUGAUGGCCACGUUAAGUUAAUUGAAAAAUUCGAAUCUUUUGAUGUUGCCGUAGUUAAGGUUGAGUUUUCUAAAAGAGGGGAUGAGAAUGGCUUCAAUUAUGCUAUUUUCGGUGACGGAGACCUCUUUCGAGGUAAAGAAAUGAUAAACAUUGGUUAUCCAAUGAAGUGGGGGUACACAUCUGUCCGUGGGGAGAUAUGUUUUUCCUGCGUGAACGAUGUAAAAGUAGACGACAACGCUCCGAGGAUUAGAAAAGUUUAUCCGAAUAUAGACCUUUGUACGGCUUGGAACGAGACGCUAACCUAUCGAAAGGUGGCAAACGUUGUUAAUCGAUAUAAUCCAAAAUUGACUUCGUUCGGAAUAGAUGUUUCUCUAAUUCAGAUAAAUAACGUGCAACUGGAUAUGUUAUUGGUAUGGUAGUUUUUGUUGAGUCAAACGUGUACUUUGUGGUGCAUGUUGGUGUUUUAAGAGAUCUUUUUGAGACUACCGUGAAGCAUGACAACAAGAAACAAAAGUGAAAGAGGAAGCAAAAGAGCGGUUAUAACUAUCAUUUUUUAUAGUGGCUAGAAAUAUGUUUGUAAAAUAUAUUUGUAAAAUAUGUUUGUAAAAAUAUAUUUAUAAGUAAAAUAUUUAAAGGGUUCAUAUGUAUAAUAUAAAAAAAAAUGACAAUUUAUAUUUAUUGAUAAACAGUUAUUAUUUGAUUUGUAAGAAAAUAAUAUAUUAUAUAAAAUGACAUGUAAGAAAAUAAUAUAUAAAAAUUUAAAAUAUUUUCCAGCUCUUGGACCAAUCAACACAUGAGAGAUUUUGGUUUUACCAGUAAAAAUGCAAAAAAAUAUUUAGGCAUGCAAAGAACCAGAUUUUGUGUUCAUCCGAACGGUUACAUUCUUACUUUUGCAAAUUUAUUUCGCGAAACCAUCACUGACAUACAUAUUCGCAAAUAAGGUUGAGUUUUCUAGAAGAGGGAAUGCGAAUGGCUUCAAUUAUGCCAUUUUCAGUGACGGGGACCCUCUUUCAAGGUAAAGAAGUGAUAAACAUUAUUUAUCCAAUGAAGUGGGGAUAAACAUCUGUCCGUGGGGAGAUAUGUUUUCCCCGUGUGAACGCUGUAAUAGUAGACGACAACGCUCCGACAAGUAGGAAAGUUUAUCCGAAUGUAGACCUUUGUACGGCUUGGAACGAGACGCUAACCUAUCGAAAGGCGGCAGACGUUGUUCAUCGAUAUAAUCCAAAAUUGAUUUCGUUCGGCAUAGAUGUUUCUCUAAUUCAGAUAAAUAACGUGCAACUGGAUAUAUUAUUGGUAUGAUAGUUUUUGUUGAGUCAAACGUGUACUUUCCGGUGCAUGUUGGUAUUUUAAGAGAUCUUCUAAAGAUUACCGUGAAGCAUGACAACAAGAAACAAAAGUGAAAGAGGAAACAAAAGAGCGGUUAUAACUAUCAUUUUUUAUAGUGGCUAAAAAUAUGUUUGUAAAAUAUAUUUGUAAAAUAUGUUUGUAAAAAUAUGUUUGUAAGUAAAAUAUUUAAAGAAAUCAUAUGUAUAAUAUGAAAAAAAAAUGACAAUUUAUAUUUAUUGAUAAAUAGUUAUUAUUUGAUUUGUAAGAAAAUAAUAUAUUAUAUAAAAUGACAUGUAAGAAAAUAAUAUAUUAUAUAAAAUGACAUGUAAGAAAAUAAUAUAUAAAAAUUUAAAAUAUUUAAAUACUGAUUUGUUAAUUUCGUUCUAUUUAAUUUUAUUCUGUCUUUCCUCUCUUCCUUUUUUUUCACUUAAUUUUUUCUAUCUUUCCUUGCAUAAUUUUUGUAAAAUUUUUUUAGAUGGCUAACAUG